UGAAGGCGGGUGUGCCCGAAAGGGAAUCGGAACACAGGUGCUGCAUGGCUGUCGUCAGCUCGUGUCGUGAGAUGUUGGGUUAAGUCCCGCAACGAGCGCAACCCUUGUCCCUAGUUGCUACGCAAGGGCACUCUAAGGAGACUGCCGGUGACAAACCGGAGGAAGGUGGGGAUGACGUCAAGUCCUCAUGGCCCUUAUGGGUAGGGCUUCACACGUCAUACAAUGGCCGGUACAGAGGGUUGCCAAGCCGCGAGGUGGAGCCAAUCCCAGAAAGCCGGUCGUAGUCCGGAUUGCAGUCUGCAACUCGACUGCAUGAAGUCGGAAUCGCUAGUAAUCGCGGAUCAGCAUGUCGCGGUGAAUACGUUCCCGGGUCUUGUACACACCGCCCGUCACACCAUGGGAGUGGGGUGCACCAGAAGUAGGUAGGCUAACCGCAAGGGGGCCGCCUACCACGGUACGCUUCAUGACUGGGGUGAAGUCGUAACAAGGUAGCCGU
Molecule: ribosomal RNA, 496 nt
Filed under: uncultured beta proteobacterium
Lineage: Bacteria; Pseudomonadati; Pseudomonadota; Betaproteobacteria
Description: bacterial SSU rRNA
Rfam family: Bacterial small subunit ribosomal RNA
Source: RNAcentral